AUGGGACACUCUCAGAACCUCUGUGGAUACAGUCCUAAAAAAUCUCAAGUCUUCUCAUCUGAGUUUGUAGCUUCUUCUAGUCAGAAGCAUGAUUACUUAGAGGAGAAAUUGGCUUAUGUAGUUUCCAUUCAAGAGGUCUUUUUUGCUAAGCAAGAAGAGAUGGAUGUUCAUAUGAAGCUAGUGACUAUUGUAACACCCUAA
Molecule: non-coding RNA, 201 nt
Organism: Vicia faba (fava bean)
Lineage: Eukaryota; Viridiplantae; Streptophyta; Magnoliopsida; Fabales; Fabaceae
Source: the annotation of a GenBank genome assembly